AUGGGAAACCCUGUUGAUGCACCUAAAGCCUAUCAAUGGAUAUGGAAAUCAUGCUCUUUACCAAAGCAGAAAUUCUUCUUCUGGCUCUUGUUACAAGACAGAUUAAACACUAGAGAUCUACUAAAAAGGAAGAAUUUCUACAUUGAGACUAGUAAGUGUGAAUUAUGUGAUGAUGAACCUAAUGAACAUUUAAUGCAUCUGUUUUUUAGCUGUGAUUUCAGUCAAAACUUCUGGAUGAACAUUGGCUACCAAUGGAACACUGAUCAUAACCUCAUAGAAAUGCUCCUGGAGGGAAGGAAGCAAGAUACACAUGGAUGCUUUAAAGAAUGUCUGAUUGCUGGAUGCUGGAGUCUAUGGAAACACAGAAAUAGCAUAAUUUUUGACAACAAGGUCAAAAAUAUGACAUUCUGUAUUGCCACUUUCAAGGAGCACUUUUGCAUGAUUAUAAAGAAGGCAAAACCAGGAUUGAAAGAGGGCAUGCAAAGCUGGCUAGAUCAUUUGUAG
This 504-nucleotide ribosomal RNA is filed under the name Triticum aestivum (bread wheat). RNAcentral's name for it is "partial small subunit ribosomal RNA". Lineage: Eukaryota; Viridiplantae; Streptophyta; Magnoliopsida; Poales; Poaceae. The record is from RNAcentral.